Long non-coding RNA from Chlorocebus sabaeus (green monkey), 5684 nucleotides. RefSeq lists it as uncharacterized. The record is from RefSeq and is a predicted model, not a curated record. Lineage: Eukaryota; Metazoa; Chordata; Mammalia; Primates; Cercopithecidae.
GGCAGAGCGUGAGUGGAGGGGUGUGAGUUACACAUUUCUGUGAUGUUAGAUUUCCUCUCCUCCCUGUCAUUCUCUUCCCCCUCCUCUAUUUUCUCUCUCUCUCUCUCUUUUUUUUUUUUUUAACAAUGAGUCUCUUAAUUUUGUCAUCAGAUAGAUGUACAAGGACAAUACAUAAAAAUAGAAAUAAUAUCUGGGAAGCAGUGGGCACGUUAUUGGCACACAAGAGUGGCGAUGGCUGUUCUUACCGUUUCUUCUCAUUUCUGGCAGGAAUGAAUCACUUACUUCCAACGUUUCCUAAACAGGCAAUGGGCUCCUGGGCCCCGUCUCACUCGGGAGGGCCUUUCCUCUGUCCCAUCAUUCUGAGGGUUUCUGGAAGAUGGAGUCCUGCACUGUUGCCCAGGCUGGAGUGCAGUGGCAUGAUUUCAGCUCACUGCAACCUCCGCCUCCCAGGUUCAAGCGAUUCUCCUGCCUCAGCCUCCUGAGUAGCUACAAUUAGAGCCCGAGAGAAAAGCCCCAUGUUAUCCCAAUUUCAUAGAUGGGCAAACUGAGGCUUGAAGACACUCUGCAGCCUCCAAGGGCUGUUGUCUUCAUUCCUCCAACAGAGUGGGAAUGAGACGGUGCAGAGUCUGGAAUGUCUGGGCAGAAGGAAGAGCCGGAGCAAAGGCCUGGAGCUUGGAGGGCGCUGUCGGGGGUGGUGGGGGGCGGGGGCGGUGUCCCAUGGUAGGGUUUCGUAUCAGCUCUGCCAUUUCUUGGCUGCGUGACCUCUGGCACCCUACUGGGCCUCUUUGAUCCCAGACUACAUGUAGAAUGGGUGUGUGAGAAGAAAACCUUCUGGAGCAGGGUGUUGAGGAGAGAACAGUGCCUGGCACAUCAUAAUAAUAAUGCUGAAUAGAUGUUAUUUUCAUUUCUAACCACUUCCUCCAGGAAGCCCAUCCUGACCUCCUCUGGCUCCCGAGGUCACCUGGACUUGCCCCAUCACAGACCUUGCCACAGUGUGAGAAACUGCCUCAUCCACAUACCAGCUUCUCACCCCCACCCAGACCCUCUGAUUGGGACUCCCUUGAGGGCUGUGUCCCCAGAGCCCAGAAAGAGUCCAGCACAGAGCAGCUGAGGGGGUAGAUGCUGGUGAACAGUGCCACUGAGCCCCUGCUACUCAGCAAGCCCUUCACACACGGAUCCUUCAUUUAGUGUCUUUCUUCUCCUAGAUAGAACCUUGGCUUUGCCAAGACCAGCAUAGUUGCUGCUCAAGAAACUAUGUGAAGAAAUCGUCGAGAUGAACCAGCACUCAGGGGAAGGGAGGCUUUCUGAGGACGGGGCCUUAGCAGGUGGAGCUCCUGGGAUAAUAAGAAAGAUACCCGGAUGCGGUGGCUCACACCUGGAAUCCCAGCACUUCGGGAGGCCAAGGCAGGCAGAUCACUUGAGGCCAGGAGUUCAAGACCAGUCUGGCCAACAUGAUAAAACCCCGUCUCUACUAAAAAUACAAAAAAUUAGCUGGGCAUGGUAGUGCGAGCCUGUAGUCCCAGCUUCUCGGGAGGCUGAGGCUGGAGGAUCAAUGAUUGAACCCAGGAGGUGGAGGUUGUAGUGAGGUGAGAUCGUGCCACUGCACUCCAGGCUGGGCAACAGAGUGAGACUCUGUCUCCAGAAAGAAAGACAACAAUAAUCAGUAGUCUUUACUCUGCUCCAGGCGCCAGGCUGAGUCUUCUCAGUUCCUCUCCCCAGCAGGUUAGUUCUAUUAUUGUUUCCAUUUCACAGAUGGGAAAAUCAAGGCACAGGGAGGUGAGGUGGUUUACUCCAGGUCACACAAUCAGUGAGAGGAAGAGCCAGGAUCAAAGCCAAGCCUGUUUGACUGAGGAGCCUGUCCUGAGACCUUAACCACACACCAAGCCCUCCCUAGAAGGAAGAUGCCGCUACUGGACACAUUUUGCAGAUGGAAACCAAGGCUCUGAGAGUCAGAACGGCCUGCCCACGUCUGGACACAGAAACUGAGGUUGAGCAGGAGAUGCUCGAGGCGGGGUUCCUGUCUCCUAGGCCAGCACCCUGAAGGAGGGGUGGGAGACCGCCCCCCACGCCCCAAGCUAUCCCCUGCUUGUUGGAGUUUCUGGUCAAUACCCUGGUCUCUGUUACCCAGCCCAGCACCCAAGACACUGCCUCUUCCGCCUGCCUGGAGUCUCGGGUCUCGGGUGCCUUCACAAUCGGAUUCUCUGUCUCCGCAGCUGCUUUCCAUUUGAGCUCUUUGUGCUGAAAAUAAAAAAAAAAUGAAAAGAAAACUUGGCACCGCCCCUCUGCUUUGCUUCCUGGGGAGGAAGGAGGAUCCCAGCUACUUCUUUCCCUCAUUCUGGGGCCCAGAGAUACCCACAGCCUGCCCAAGGUCACACAGCAGGGUCGGAGCCAGGACCCUGGCCUUAGACUCCCUUUCCAGUGCUCUACCCCCUCUGGCCACUGCCUCUGCUAUUCCUGGCUCUUCCUCUAGGCCCGUGAGGAGCAGAUGAAUUAGGAUGAAUGUUCCUGCACCCUACUACACGCUGGGCACUCUGCCACCUUGAGCUCACAAAACCCUCAUGACGGCCCUGUGAGGUCCUGUCACCCCAUUUAACCAACGAGGAAGCUGAGACUCAGAGAGGGGAAGCGCCCAAGAUCACACAGCCGGGACGUGGCAGAGCUGGGGUUCCAGCUCCUGUUCCCAUUGCUGGACAGCUGCCACAUCUGGCACCCAAUUUAGGACCCUGUGGGGAGGCCCAAGCCCCGGGGGUGGCGGGGGUUCCUAGAGGGAAGUGGCAAGGCCAGGACCCUGGAGCUGAGCCAGGCAUUGUCCUGGUACUAUGGAGCAAUGAACAAACAAGACAAAAAUGCCCCCAUCACCUUUGGAGCCCACAUCUCUUCGGAGCUGCCCUACAUUUCCUGAGUAGGAAACUGAGGCUCUGAGAGAUGAAGCUACUUGCCAACGCCACGCAGCUCAGCUACAUCCCACUGAACAUCACCCUGUUCCCUGGGGACUUAGCACGUAUCCUAGAAAUUAACCUGCUGGUUGAUCCUGUUUCUUGUCUGUCUCUUUCCAGUGGAAUGUCACCAUCGCCCAGGUCCUCACAGCACCUCCUGCAAACAGACCUCCGACCCAAGCCCUUCCUUCUGCCUCCACUGCCACCAUUGCUGCUCAUCUCUGCUGGCACAGAAGUCUCUUCCCUGGUCCUCCAGAAAUCCCCCCUCCAUAUUCAGCGAGAGGGAGCUAUUCAAACUGCGGGCUAGCCCACAUCAGUCCCCGGCAAAGUCCUCUCUAAGGGAUCCCGUUGCUUGGAGAAUAAACCCUCGGAUUCCUUCUUUGGCUCUCGGGGCCUCCUCUCUGACCUCCCUCUGUCUCCUCUCCCAGCCUUCCUCCUCACUUACCCUCCAGCCACCCUGGCUUCCUCCUUGCUCCUGAAACAGCCUGAGGCCCACACUGCCCCGGGCCCUUUGCACUGGCUGUUCCCUCUACCUGGAACACUUCUCCCAGGCUUCCACAGGGCUCCCUCCCGCACUUCCUUCGGGUGCCCACCUGGGAAGCGUUUCCUAACCGCCCCCCACUUCCUUCUGAGCACGGUAGGGUCUUUCUACCUGGUAUAUGAGGGCAGUCUGCUGUGUUCUCUGUGUGCCCCGGUGCCAUCACAGUGUGUGGCAGAUGGUAAGUGCUCGACACACAUCGGCUGACUGCCUGAAUGAACAACUCUAUGAGCCGAUGGCAGAUAAGGACACUGAGGUCCUCUGGGGUAGGUGACCAGCCCAAGGCCACACAGCUGGUUUGAAAUUAGGCCAGGAGAGGAGCCCGGGUUGGUCACAUCCUGGAGCUGGCGUCUUGGAAACUGCAUCAGGAGAAUAACAAAGAUGAGACGCAGGCUCUAACAAGUGGAUACCAGUGACUCUCGCCCCGCCAGCCCCAGCCCUGCGGCCUUGGGCCCUUCCAGGAGUCAUGGUCUGCCUGCCUGGGGCAUUCCAGGCUUUAGCCCAGGUCCUGCGCUUUCUAUUUUGAGCCUCUUAGUCCUGAGGACUGUGUGUUCCCAGCAGGCGGCGCGGGCCAGAGGCUGAGCCUGGGUGUGGCUGUCACCCUAUCUGGGGCCAGGAACCCAGAUUCCCAGGCCCUUAACCUAUUGGCUGCUGAGGGCUCUGGCAUAAGCCCUGUUCCCUGCUUGAUUGUCUUCCCUUCAAGCCCCUGCCCUGGUGUCUUCCAGGCAUGGUAUCAGCCCAUCUCACCUUGGAUUAUAUCCCUGUUUGGCCCCAUUUGAAUCCUGGCUCUGCCCCUUUCCAGCACUGUGACCUUGGGCAAGUCACUUCAUCUCUCUGGGUCUCAGUUUCUUCAUCUGGGAAAUGGGGACAAUAAGAGUACCUGUCUUUGGCCAUGUGUGGUGACUCACGCCUGUCAUCCCAGCGCUUUGGGAAGCCGAGACGAGAGAAUUGCUUAAGACCAAGAGUUUGAGAUCAGCCUGGGCAACAUAGUGAGACCCCCGUCUCUACAAAAUUUUAAAAAGUUAGCUGGGCAUGGUGGUGUGCGCCUGUAGUCCCAGCUGUUCUGGAGGCUGAAGCGGGAGGAUUGCUUGAGCCCAGGAGUUUGAGGCUGCAGUGAGCUAUGAUUACGCCCCUGCACAUUAGCCUGGGUGAUAGAAUGAGGCCCCAUCUCUAAAAAUAACAAUACUAAUAAUAAAUAAAAAUGAAAACGAGCACCUGUCUUCUGGGGUUUCAGAGGAGAUUCAAUGUGAUGAAAUUGAUGAGAGUGCCCUGCACGGAGCUGGAAACUCAGAAAUCCUCGAUAAUGAGUUCCCCCACCAUCAGCAGCUGGUUUAAAUAUAAAAACUGUCAUGGCCUCUGGAGAAACGACAAGAGUUUGAAGGAGCUUCCCUGCACUGGCCACCGUACACCCUACACCCUUACUUCCUCCCCUCAACUUGCCUGGAUUUAUCGACCCCCACUACCCCACUGGUUGCCUUCUCUCCACCUGGCACAUUCCGUAUGAAUUUGCUUGUUGGUUUCUUGCCUAUCUCCCCAGUAGAACACUGGCUCCAUCAGGACAGGAACUUUUGUCUACCUUAUGCACCUAGUGCAAUGCCUGGCACACAGUCAGUGCUCAACAAAUGUUUGUUAAAAGAACCAAUAAAUGAAUAGCGAUCUGUCUGGGGAGAGGAGCCCUGAGCUCACCUCCCUCCCCAAGCCCAGGGCUCUCGGGUGCUUGUUGGUGUCAGACCCAGGUCCCCUCUCAUCAAGCAGCCAAUAAAACUGCCCUGGUUGGCGUUCUCAUUUCACAGAUGGAGAGACUGAGCCCAGAGAGGGAGAGUCGCCUGUCUGAUGUCACACAGAGGUCGGCACCUGGGCUGGGAUUCCAGCCCAGGAUCAUGUGGGGUGGGGGACAGUGGAUCAAUCUUUUCCUGGAAGGAGUCAAUGGUGAUGGUGGGAACGGGUCAGGGGUGCUGGCAAGGAGGUUCCAAGGCCCCCAGGAGGGAGGGAGGCAUGGGAGAUGAGUUAGUCCCUCUUGAGUUCCAUCUCUCUCUGUGUCUCUCUGUUUCUGCCUCUUUCUGUGUCCUUGUAUUUCUCGGUCCCUGUCUUCGUCUCUCUUUCUCUCUUCCUUGUGUAUCUGACUCACUACCCAGGAGGGGAUGCAGGCACACACCCCUGGCUUGGGGGCUGGAGUUGGGGCCAAUGAGGGGAUUGACAUCUGGGGUUGA